Molecule: ribosomal RNA, 253 nt
Filed under: uncultured bacterium
Lineage: Bacteria
Description: partial 16S ribosomal RNA
Rfam family: Bacterial small subunit ribosomal RNA
Source: RNAcentral
UACGUAGGGUACAAGCAUUGUCCGGAAUUAUUGGGCAUAAAGAGCUCAUAGGCAGUCUGUCGCGUCGGCUGUGAAAACUCAAAACUCAACCCCAAGCCUGCAGUCGAUACAGGCAGACUAGAGUCCAACAAAAGAGACUGGAAUUCCUAAUAUAGCGAUGAAAUACACAGAUAUCAGGAGGAACACCAAUGGCAAAAACGGGUCUCUAAACCGGAACUGACGCUAAAGAGCGAAAGCGUGAAAAGCGAACAGG